This 253-nucleotide ribosomal RNA is filed under the name uncultured bacterium. RNAcentral describes it as "partial 16S ribosomal RNA". It matches the Rfam family "Bacterial small subunit ribosomal RNA", at positions 524 to 776 of the family's 1533-position model. The record is from RNAcentral.
UACGGAGGGGGCUAGCAUUGUUCGGAAUUACUGGGCGUAAAGCGCACGUAGGCGGCUUUGUAAGUUAGAGGUGAAAGCCCAGGGCUUAACCCUGGAAUUGCCUUUAAGACUGCAUCGCUAGAAUUGUGGAGAGGUAAGUGGAAUUCCGAGUGUAGAGGUGAAAUUCGUAGAUAUUCGGAAGAACACCAGUGGCGAAGGCGACUUACUGGACACAUAUUGACGCUGAGGUGCGAAAGCGUGGGGAGCAAACAGG